GACGAACGCUGGCGGCAUGCCUAAUACAUGCAAGUCGAGCGGACUUGAAGAGAAGCUUGCUUCUCUGAUGGUUAGCGGCGGACGGGUGAGUAACACGUAGGCAACCUGCCCUCAAGUUUGGGACAACUACCGGAAACGGUAGCUAAUACCGAAUAAUUGUUUUCUUCGCCUGAAGAAAACUGGAAAGACGGAGCAAUCUGUCACUUGGGGAUGGGCCUGCGGCGCAUUAGCUAGUUGGUGAGGUAACGGCUCACCAAGGCGACGAUGCGUAGCCGACCUGAGAGGGUGAUCGGCCACACUGGGACUGAGACACGGCCCAGACUCCUACGGGAGGCAGCAGUAGGGAAUCUUCCGCAAUGGGCGAAAGCCUGACGGAGCAAUGCCGCGUGAGUGAUGAAGGUUUUCGGAUCGUAAAGCUCUGUUGCCAGG
RNAcentral lists this ribosomal RNA (429 nucleotides) under uncultured bacterium. Its description in RNAcentral is "bacterial SSU rRNA". It matches the Rfam family "Bacterial small subunit ribosomal RNA", at positions 28 to 443 of the family's 1533-position model. The record is from RNAcentral.